GGGGAAGAAAAGGCUCGCUAGCAAAGCAACUGAGAGACGGGCCCCUUCAGCGUGCACACGAUGGGGGAUUGUUCUGGAACAUGGUGAGGGCCUGGGAUGGAGAGGAGGGGAGGCGAGGAGUCCGGCGCCAUCGGUGCAGCCGCAGUGGGGCGGGAGGGCCAGGGACACACCAAAAAGCCACCGCGCUGGCUGCCGCGACAGCUGUCGAUGGGCAGCUCAGUCCUCACCGCCGGGGAGCAGAAAACAGAGAUCGCAGAACCUCCCCAAGUGCGCACCUGUCUGUCCCUUUCCAGAGGAGCCUUCCGUGGGGCCGCUCAGCCAAAGGGCAGCCACAGAUGUUGGAUCCAGAGCCUCCAGGCCAAAAACAGGUUUUGUCUGCACAGAGAAGCCCACUGUUCUCCAGCCGCUCAGGGAGCCGCCGGCUGCCCUUCCGUGCUCCUUGCAGACACCUCCGGGCCUCUCCUGAACCUCCUUCCUGCUCCUGGAAGGCGGGCACAUCAGUAUGGCACCGUGACUGUGCGAAAGCCAUCCUUUUGGUGAAGCAGUGAGUGUGAUAGAAUAACAGGACAGUUUCUGCACGGGUUGCUGGGCCGGGGGUCCCAGGGGCCGCCCCUCACCCAGAGGACAGGGGCUGUCAUCUUCGCCAUGUCACUGUCCCGCUGCUGACCACAACUCUCCUACGCACUGAGGACUUCUCUCAGCAGCAACCUGUGGCCAUCAGAAACCUCUUCUGGUUUCCAGGCAUCAUAUUAAGAUUCAUCAGAGGCCUGCUCCAUCUCAGGAAUCUGCCCUAGAGGCUUGGGGUGGGGGGCCUCUCACCUGUCUAGGCAGGGAUGGGAGAAAACCCAGGACAAAGGGAGGCGGGAGGUGGUCAGCUUCCUGCUCCUGCCAAGCAGAAAGAACCUGGAUGGCUUCAGCCCAGAGAAGCAGCAGCAAAAGCAGCAGCAGCAAUGCUUUGUGGGAGGUUGGAGGGAGCUGCCUCAGUUUCCCAACAGUCAUAUAGAGAAUCCUGGCAAUGGGGUAUAGGACCAGUGAGUGCUCACCCACACGUUGUGCGGCCCACACCGUUCUCAUAGCGUGAGCCCUCAGAUGCUGUGGUGGGCCUGGAGACGCCUUCAGGACAGGACCCAGGGGUGGGAGGGGACGCCAGCAGAAGACAGGAUCGAUGAAACACCCCAAAGUGCCAGGUUUACUGAGUUCUUUCCAUGGCCCACAGAUUCCAAACUUCUGUGACCUUCAUCCUGCUGCUGCCCCUUUGCUCCUCCUAUUCCAGCUCCCCUUCACCGUUCCUUCAUCAGUCAGGCUCCCAUGUCAGGUCCAUGGCACUGGCUGUGCCCUGGAAGGCUCUUUCUCCAGUAGCCACAUGGCCAGUCUGUCCCCUGCAGUUCUUUUUUUUUUUUUUUUUUUUAAAUAAUUCUCCUUUUUUAUUUAUUUAUUUAUGAUAGUCACAGAGAGAGAGAGAGAGGCAGAGACACAGGCAGAGGGAGAAGCAGGCUCCAUGCACCAGGAGCCUGAUGUGGGAUUCGAUCCCGGGUCUCCAGGAUCGCGCCCUGGGCCAAAGGCAGGCGCCAAACCACUGCGCCACCCAGGGAUCCCUCCUGCAGUUCUUUACUCAAAUGUCAUCUUCUCAACAAAGCAGAGCCAGGGCUGGGGUGAGGUGAGGGAGGCAACAUGGCCUUCCCUGAUUCCUUGGUUUAAAAUUGCAUUAUUGCCACCACGACUAGUUCUCCCUUAUCCUCUCCCCUCCGAAUGCAACACCCUCUCAUUUGUCAUUUA
RNAcentral lists this long non-coding RNA (1776 nucleotides) under Canis lupus familiaris (dog). RNAcentral describes it as "lncRNA (ENSCAFG00000058307.1, ENSCAFG00805008631.1)". The record is from RNAcentral. Lineage: Eukaryota; Metazoa; Chordata; Mammalia; Carnivora; Canidae.